Sinocyclocheilus anshuiensis is the source of this 165-nucleotide long non-coding RNA. RefSeq lists it as uncharacterized. Lineage: Eukaryota; Metazoa; Chordata; Actinopteri; Cypriniformes; Cyprinidae. The transcript has 3 exons. The record is from RefSeq and is a predicted model, not a curated record.
UGCUAACAAAAUGAAGGCAGAUCUGAAUGCCAGUUUGCAGCUUGAGACAAGCAUAUGUUACUGGCAGGAUCAACCAGGUAGCCCUCGGGGGUGGGACGGAGAACCACAGCGUGCUGGUUUCCUACACGCGGGUCUCACUCCACGAUGGGGGGGGGGACACCCCGG